CCCUCUCCCCCUCGCUCUCCUCCUCGAUCUGGAGAGGCACCCAACCCGGUCGUCGCCGUCGCCGCAUCGAUCCCGCGGCCACCGACCGCCUCUCAUCUCACCGGUGUGUCCAGGAGCUCCGUCGCGCCGCGCUCGUCCUCGUCAACUACUCCAUUCGCACCUGGAGGCCCCAAGAAGAUGCCACGAUCAACUUCCUCACCGUCACAGCCGCCGCACCUCGCCGUCGAUCCGCUACUCCGGGCCAUCCCCAACCCCUCUCGAGUUCGCCUGCGCCCUUCCCGGUGAGCACCGCGUCGAUUUCCGCCUGAUCCCUUCGAGUCCAUCACAUUAGAUGCCCCCUGAACGUAGCCGCCGUGGCUGCGCUCAAGCCCCGGCCACCCCGUGCGCGCCCUGGACUCCCCUGCCGGCACCCGUCCGCGCGCCCGGCUCGCCCGCCUGCUGUCGCAACUGCUGCUACCCUGCGCUGCCGCGGCCGCACGCUGCUUGCGGCACUGCCGCUGCUGCUGUUGCUGGCUCGCUACGCCAGCCCACGUGCGCGCGCGUCGAACCCCCGCUCGCCUUCUGUUGAAGCUGCCUUGGCGUGCCUGCUGCUGUUGAUUACUGCACUGCUGCUCUUGCUUUCUACUGCUGCUCUUCCAUUGUUGCUGCUAGCUACGCUUGCGCCGCUGCUCCUAUACUGCGGCUACACCGUUGCUUGCUACUACUGCUAAUGGCCGUGAAUUUGCGCCUAUGCGAGUUGCCAUGGCAACACAGCCGUGGCUCGAUGUGUGGCCGGCCAUGCACUAAUUUGUAGUACUACUAGGAAAAUGGCCCGUGCGUUGCAACGGGAAUACAAUCGUCCCUUGCUUGAUACCUUUUUUUUCUUUACCAGGGAUCCAUCCUAGCCCCACAAUGAAGCCUGACUGUUCCCGAAAAAAAAAGCCUGACUGUCACCACGAUGAUAGGGCAUGACAGUCUGUCUCGAGAAGGUCGUCGGAAUCGGAUAGACCUAAUGCGACCAUGGCCUCCUACUACACAUCUGCCCAAC
RNAcentral lists this long non-coding RNA (1027 nucleotides) under Triticum aestivum (bread wheat). RNAcentral's name for it is "long non-coding RNA (TAES_LNC005416)". Lineage: Eukaryota; Viridiplantae; Streptophyta; Magnoliopsida; Poales; Poaceae. The record is from RNAcentral.